AAGAGCAAAAAUGCAUGGGUGUUCAUUUGAUUGUGCAUGAACAUGGUAAGGUUUAAUAGAGUGUACACAUGAUUAUAUAAUUUAAAAAUUCAGCACCAAUCAAAAAUUGACAUGUGGUUAAAUUAUAUUAAAAAAAUAAAAAUAAAAACAAAAAUGAUAGAAAACAAGAGAGAAAAUGAAUGUGCAACAACAUGAAAACACAAGGGCCAAUAACCCCAUUUCACAUAAGCGGUUUUUCAACAUGAAAACCAC
RNAcentral lists this long non-coding RNA (252 nucleotides) under Lathyrus oleraceus (garden pea). RNAcentral's name for it is "Pisum sativum (pea) long non-coding RNA (PSAT_LNC020380)". Lineage: Eukaryota; Viridiplantae; Streptophyta; Magnoliopsida; Fabales; Fabaceae. The record is from RNAcentral.